This 378-nucleotide unclassified non-coding RNA is filed under the name uncultured Parachlamydiaceae bacterium. RNAcentral describes it as "contains 16S-23S intergenic spacer region". The record is from RNAcentral. Lineage: Bacteria; Pseudomonadati; Chlamydiota; Chlamydiia; Parachlamydiales; Parachlamydiaceae.
UCCUGGUUAACCCAGGCAGUCUCGUUAGAGUUCCCAGCUUUACCUGUUGGCAACUAACGAUAAGGGUUGCGCUCGUUGCGGGACUUAACCCAACACCUCACGGCCCGAGCUGACGACAGCCAUGCAGCACCUGUGCAGCGGCCCCGAAGAGCGCAUUCAUCUCUGAAUGCUUCCACUGCAUGUCAAGCCUGGGUAAGGUUCUUCGCGUUGCAUCGAAUUAAACCACAUGCUCCACUGCUUGUGCGGGUCCCCGUCAAUUCUUUUGAGUUUCACCCUUGCGAGCGUACUCCCCAGGCGGUAUACUUAUCGCGUUAGCUUCGACACAACUGGGGUUGAGUCCAGUUACAUCAAGUAUACAUCGUUUACGGCAAGGACUAC